RNAcentral lists this ribosomal RNA (253 nucleotides) under uncultured bacterium. RNAcentral describes it as "partial 16S ribosomal RNA". It matches the Rfam family "Bacterial small subunit ribosomal RNA", at positions 524 to 776 of the family's 1533-position model. The record is from RNAcentral.
UACGUAGGGGGCAAGCGUUAUCCGGAUUUACUGGGUGUAAAGGGAGCGUAGACGGCACUGCAAGUCUGGAGUGAAAGCCCGUGGCCCAACCACGGGACUGCUCUGGAAACUGUGUUGCUGGAGUGCAGGAGGGGUAAGCGGAAUUCCUAGUGUAGCGGUGAAAUGCGUAGAUAUUAGGAGGAGCACCGGUGGCGAAGGCGGCUUACUGGACUGUAACUGACGUUGAGGCUCGAAGGCGUGGGGAGCAAACAGG